Molecule: transfer RNA, 74 nt
Filed under: Planctomycetota bacterium
Lineage: Bacteria; Pseudomonadati; Planctomycetota
Description: Planctomycetes bacterium (activated sludge metagenome) tRNA-Thr
Rfam family: tRNA
About the family: Transfer RNA (tRNA) molecules are approximately 80 nucleotides in length. Their secondary structure includes four short double-helical elements and three loops (D, anti-codon, and T loops).
Source: RNAcentral
GCCCCUGUAGCUCAAGUGGAGAGCACCGGCCCUGUACGCCGGUGAUGGAGGUGAAACCCCUCCCGGGGGCUCCA